Molecule: ribosomal RNA, 501 nt
Filed under: uncultured bacterium
Lineage: Bacteria
Description: bacterial SSU rRNA
Rfam family: Bacterial small subunit ribosomal RNA
Source: RNAcentral
ACGAGUUUGAUCCUGGCUCAGAUUGAACGCUGGCGGCAGGCCUAACACAUGCAAGUCGAGGGGUAUGGUUUCGGACCAAGAGACCGGCGCACGGGUGCGUAACGCGUAUGCAAUCUACCUUUGCAGAGGGAUAGCCCAGAGAAAUUUGGAUUAAUACCUCAUAGUAUAGUACUUUGGCAUCAAGGAACUAUUAAAGUCACAACGGCAAAAGAUGAGCAUGCGUCCCAUUAGCUUGUUGGUAAGGUAACGGCUUACCAAGGCAACGAUGGGUAGGGGUCCUGAGAGGGAGAUCCCCCACACUGGUACUGAGACACGGACCAGACUCCUACGGGAGGCAGCAGUGAGGAAUUUUGGACAAUGGGCGCAAGCCUGAUCCAGCAAUGCCGCGUGCAGGAUGAAGGCCUUCGGGUUGUAAACUGCUUUUGUACGGAACGAAACGGUGAGCUCUAAUACAGUUUGCUAAUGACGGUACCGUAAGAAUAAGCACCGGCUAACUACGUG